GUUCAUCAGUAUCUCUCUCUGGGAUGGUCUGGUGUUGAAUAGCUAGGCUCUGUCAGGUCAUAGUUCAUCAGUAUCUCUCUCUGGGAUGGUCUGGUGUUGAAUAGCUAGGCUCUGUCAGGUCAUAGUUCAUCAGUAUCUCUCUCUGGGAUGGUCUGGUGUUGAAUAGCUAGGCUCUGUCAGGUCAUAGUUCAUCAGUAUCUCUCUCUGGGAUGGUCUGCUGUUGAAUAGCUAGGCUCUGUCAGGUCAGAGUUCAUCAGUAUCUCUCUGGGAUGGUCUUGUGUUGAAUAGCUAGGCUCUGUCAGGUCGUAGUUCAUCAGUAUCUCACUCUGGGAUGGUCUGCAUAUUGCACUACUUUGGACCAGAGCCCUAUGGGUCAAAAGUAGUGCACUAUG
This is a long non-coding RNA of Oncorhynchus tshawytscha (Chinook salmon), 392 nucleotides long. The record is from Ensembl. NCBI's taxonomy places the organism in Eukaryota, Metazoa, Chordata, Actinopteri, Salmoniformes, Salmonidae.